UCCAGCAUGGUGUAGUGGUUUGAGCAAUAGACUACGAUUCUGGAGACCAAGGUUCAAAUCCCCUGCCUGGCUAUGGAA
Molecule: non-coding RNA, 78 nt
Organism: Phrynosoma platyrhinos (Desert horned lizard)
Lineage: Eukaryota; Metazoa; Chordata; Lepidosauria; Squamata; Phrynosomatidae
Source: the annotation of a GenBank genome assembly